AUACGGGGGGUGCGAGCGUUGUUCGGAAUUACUGGGCGUAAAGCGCGUGUAGGCGGUCGGGAAAGUCGAAUGUGAAAUCCCCGGGCUCAACCCGGGAACUGCAUCCGAAACUGCUCGGCUAGAGUCCCGGAGAGGAAGGCAGAAUUCCCAGUGUAGGGGUGAAAUCCGUAGAUAUUGGGAGGAAUACCAGUGGCGAAGGCGGCCUUCUGGACGGUGACUGACGCUGAGACGCGAAAGCGUGGGGAGCAAACAGGAUUAGAAACCCGAGUAGUCC
RNAcentral lists this ribosomal RNA (274 nucleotides) under uncultured bacterium. RNAcentral describes it as "partial 16S ribosomal RNA". It matches the Rfam family "Bacterial small subunit ribosomal RNA", at positions 523 to 796 of the family's 1533-position model. The record is from RNAcentral.